Molecule: small nucleolar RNA, 71 nt
Organism: Gouania willdenowi (blunt-snouted clingfish)
Lineage: Eukaryota; Metazoa; Chordata; Actinopteri; Blenniiformes; Gobiesocidae
Product: small nucleolar RNA SNORD61
Source: Ensembl
GCAGUGAUGACUUCCUGGUUUUGAUCUUCCGUGAAAUUAAACCACCAACUCCUCUAAGAAGUGCUGAGCUC